UGCGUAGGGUGCAAGCGUUGUCCGGAAUUAUUGGGCGUAAAGAGUUCGUAGGCGGCUUGUCACGUCGGGUGUGAAAGCCCGGGGCUUAACCCCGGGUCUGCAUUCGAUACGGGCUAGCUAGAGUGUGGUAGGGGAGAUCGGAAUUCCUGGUGUAGCGGUGAAAUGCGCAGAUAUCAGGAGGAACACCGAUGGCGAAGGCGGACCGCUGGGCCAUUACUGACGCUGAGGAACGAAAGCGUGGGGAGCGAACAGG
RNAcentral lists this ribosomal RNA (253 nucleotides) under uncultured bacterium. Its description in RNAcentral is "partial 16S ribosomal RNA". It matches the Rfam family "Bacterial small subunit ribosomal RNA", at positions 524 to 776 of the family's 1533-position model. The record is from RNAcentral.